Molecule: ribosomal RNA, 479 nt
Filed under: uncultured Glomus
Lineage: Eukaryota; Fungi; Glomeromycota; Glomeromycetes; Glomerales; Glomeraceae
Description: SSU rRNA
Rfam family: Eukaryotic small subunit ribosomal RNA
Source: RNAcentral
CACGGGGGUUGGAGGGCAAGUCUGGUGCCAGCAGCCGCGGUAAUUCCAGCUCCAAUAGCGUAUAUUAAAGUUGUUGCAGUUAAAAAGCUCGUAGUUGAAUUUCGGGGUUAGUAGGUUGGUCAUGCCUCUGGUAUGUACUGGUCUCACUGAUUCCUCCUUCCUUAUGAACCGUAAUGCCAUUAAUUUGGUGUUGCGGGGAAUUUGGACUGUUACUUUGAAAAAAUUAGAGUGUUUAAAGCAAGCUAACGCUUGAAUACAUUAGCAUGGAAUAAUGAAAUAGGACGUUCGAUCUUAUUUUGUUGGUUUCUAGGAUUGACGUAAUGAUUAAUAGGGAUAGUUGGGGGCAUUAGUAUUCAAUUGUCAGAGGUGAAAUUCUUGGAUUUAUUGAAGACUAACUACUGCGAAAGCAUUUGCCAAGGAUGUUUUCAUUAAUCAAGAACGAAAGUUAGGGGAUCGAAGACGAUCAGAUACCGUCGUAG